This 490-nucleotide ribosomal RNA is filed under the name uncultured bacterium. RNAcentral describes it as "partial 16S ribosomal RNA". It matches the Rfam family "Bacterial small subunit ribosomal RNA", at positions 29 to 507 of the family's 1533-position model. The record is from RNAcentral.
AUGAACGCUAGCUACAGGCUUAACACAUGCAAGUCGAGGGGAAACGACAUUGAAGCUUGCUUCGAUGGUCGUCGACCGGCGCACGGGUGAGUAACGCGUAUCCAACCUGCCUCUGACCAAGGGAUAACCCGUCGAAAGUCGGCCUAAUACCUUAUGCAGUCGUCGGAAGUCAUCUGAUGACGACGAAAGAUUUCAUCGGUGAGAGAUGGGGAUGCGUCUGAUUAGCUUGCUGGCGGGGUAACGGCCCACCAAGGCAACGAUCAGUAGGGGUUCUGAGAGGAAGGUCCCCCACAUUGGAACUGAGACACGGUCCAAACUCCUACGGGAGGCAGCAGUGAGGAAUAUUGGUCAAUGGGCGAGAGCCUGAACCAGCCAAGUAGCGUGCAGGAUGACGGCCCUAUGGGUUGUAAACUGCUUUUAUGCGGGGAUAAAGUGAGGGACGUGUCCUUCAUUGCAGGUACCGCAUGAAUAAGGACCGGCUAAUUCCGUG